Lineus longissimus is the source of this 1400-nucleotide long non-coding RNA. RefSeq lists it as uncharacterized. Lineage: Eukaryota; Metazoa; Nemertea; Pilidiophora; Heteronemertea; Lineidae. The record is from RefSeq and is a predicted model, not a curated record. The transcript is spliced from 2 exons.
CAAGGCCAGUGUUGACGAUCAUCUCUCACACCCACACUCAAUCACAGCACGCCACCUGUCGUCGUAUCUUCACACUUUGUCUAGAACCCGAGCUGCUCACCUUAUCGAUGCCAUUUGAAUAUCAGUGACGGGAUAUAUCAGUCAGAAGUGAUAAAAGCGAGACAGAGCGGGUUUGUGGACUGUACUUAAUAAUAGCAUUCAGGAUGAAGUCGUUAGCGGUACUCUCACUUUUAGUCUUCUGCACACUAUCCCUUGUGGAUCAAGCCCGUCCCACCAUCCUGGGUACAAAAGAAGGCAGAGUCAAAGCCGAGUGCCAGAGAGGCUGCGAAACGGAAUAUAUGAGCUGCUUCUUCCCCUGUUACGAAAAAAUGGAGGACUUUAUAGGCUGCAUGGAGGAGUGUGUGAAAAUUCCAUGCAUACAAGAUUGCUGCGCGCGCAAGGGAUUCAAGGAUUGCUGAGUCAAUGCAGCAACGGAAGACCCCUUCCUGUAGCAGCGUGUCACGGAGUGAAUAGAUGGAUGUAUCCGAUUGGUUGAUCGGCAUCAACGGAUAUGACGUAGUUGGAAUCGUGUUGUGGUUGUUGUUUUCUGUAUAAGAAUUUUGUAAAUCUGAGGAUAUUUUGGAGUAACAUACUGAAGGCCAUGAUUUCCAUUUUGGGGGAUAGCUUCUUCUGAACAUUCAACCUCGAGGCGAAAGCCUUUUAGAUACUUUAGAAAUUUCAUUUCUACCGAAAACUUGAAGUUCCGAAAAUAACAAUUCUUCGCGCUGACCGAAAUUGGAAUAUGUCUUUCGUGAAGUAUUUGUGCACUUGGACAAAUUAGCGCUUUCUUUGAUUUAAAUGUGUCGAAAAAUGGAUUGUGAAAGAACGGAAUAUUUCGUGGACGAGAUAUUGUAAAAUAAUGAAAUAUGCGUCCGUGCACCUACGUGACGCGACCGGAGAUACCAUUCACGUUUCGCUGUAUAGUCAAGCAUUUAUGCACAAUUAACUUUAAAACUUCUUGUCAUAUGAUAUUUUCGUGCUAAAUUUACGCCCAAACUGAGAAAUAUCUUAAUAAAUAAUGUAUUUGGUCACCCUUCCACAUGCAUCUGAGUAUUUCUGUGAGAGACAAAAAACAGGUAGGUUGAAGUUUUAAAGAAUUUCGGAUGGUGCAACUCAGGUCAAUGAGCUUAAGAUAGCAGUCCACCCCGGUCUGGGCCUACUCAGGGUCCAGACUCAGUUGGGACUGCAACUUCGGAAGGGUUCAUUGGUCAGUAAUAAAACAUAUUUUGAACAAAUACGUUUAUCAACUAUUCAGGAUAGUCCAAAAAUGUACAAUCUAUGAUUUUAUGUUUGUCAAUAAUUAGUUACUUUCAUGGCAUUCGAGUGUGUCCUCGUCAAAAUAAUAAAUAUUUUUAAAAAUA